This 1185-nucleotide ribosomal RNA is filed under the name Candidatus Phytoplasma cynodontis. RNAcentral describes it as "bacterial SSU rRNA". It matches the Rfam family "Bacterial small subunit ribosomal RNA", at positions 159 to 1365 of the family's 1533-position model. The record is from RNAcentral. Lineage: Bacteria; Bacillati; Mycoplasmatota; Mollicutes; Acholeplasmatales; Acholeplasmataceae.
GGGUCUCGACGCUCUUUUAUUUUUAGAGACCUUUUUCGAAGGUAUACUUAAAGAGGGGCUUGCGGCACAUUAGUUAGUUGGUAGGGUAAAAGCCUACCAAGACUAUGAUGUGUAGCUGGACUGAGAGGUUGAACAGCCACAUUGGGACUGAGACACGGCCCAAACUCCUACGGGAGGCAGCAGUAGGGAAUUUUCGGCAAUGGAGGAAACUCUGACCGAGCAACGCCGCGUGAACGAUGAAGUAUUUCGGUAUGUAAAGUUCUUUUAUUGAAGAAGAAAAAAUAGUGGAAAAACUAUCUUGACGAUAUUCAAUGAAUAAGCCCCGGCAAACUAUGUGCCAGCAGCCGCGGUAAUACAUAGGGGGCGAGCGUUAUCCGGAAUUAUUGGGCGUAAAGGGUGCGUAGGCGGUUUGGUAAGUCUAUAGUUUAAUUUCAGUGCUUAACACUGUUCUGCUAUAGAAACUAUCAGACUAGAGUGAGAUAGAGGCAAGUGGAAUUCCAUGUGUAGCGGUAAAAUGCGUAAAUAUAUGGAGGAACACCAGAGGCGUAGGCGGCUUGCUGGGUCUUUACUGACGCUGAGGCACGAAAGCGUGGGGAGCAAACAGGAUUAGAUACCCUGGUAGUCCACGCCGUAAACGAUGAGUACUAAGUGUCGGGGAAACUCGGUACUGAAGUUAACACAUUAAGUACUCCGCCUGAGUAGUACGUACGCAAGUAUGAAACUUAAAGGAAUUGACGGGACUCCGCACAAGCGGUGGAUCAUGUUGUUUAAUUCGAAGAUACACGAAAAACCUUACCAGGUCUUGACAUACUCUGCAAAGCUAUAGCAAUAUAGUGGAGGUUACCAGGGAUACAGGUGGUGCAUGGUUGUCGUCAGCUCGUGUCGUGAGAUGUUAGGUUAAGUCCUAAAACGAGCGCAACCCUUGUCACUAGUUGCCAGCAUGUUAUGAUGGGCACUUUAGUGAGACUGCCAAUGAAAAAUUGGAGGAAGGUGAGGAUCACGUCAAAUCAUCAUGCCCCUUAUGAUCUGGGCUACAAACGUGAUACAAUGGCUGUUACAAAGAGUAGCUAAAACGCGAGUUUAUAGCCAAUCUCAUAAAAGCAGUCUCAGUUCGGAUUGAAGUCUGCGAGCUCGACUUCAUGAAGUUGGAAUCGCUAGUAAUCGCGAAUCAGCAUGUCGCGGUAG